This is a long non-coding RNA of Hippocampus zosterae (dwarf seahorse), 794 nucleotides long. RefSeq lists it as uncharacterized. NCBI's taxonomy places the organism in Eukaryota, Metazoa, Chordata, Actinopteri, Syngnathiformes, Syngnathidae. The record is from RefSeq and is a predicted model, not a curated record. The transcript has 4 exons.
CCGUGGUCAACUGAUGGUGGUGCACCAACGCCACUUUUCUGUUCGUAGCUCAAGUGGAUGCAGUUUACAAGAUUCGAGAGCAUGUGUCAAUGAACGAUCAAACAAAGCAAAGACAAGUUGGAUGAAGACCAAAAAGUGGUCCAAGAGAAUAACAAUGACACAUUGACGACAUGUCUGCUUUGCUUUAAUCGCACCACGUCCCUCCUCAUCCUGGUCGGACCCUUUUGAUGCCUAAAGCCCUCCAGGCCACUUGUGAUUCAGCAGCACUUCAGCGGCCACUCCGGCCUGCUCACCCCCGGGGUCCUGCUUGUCCCUCUCAAGGAAAACACCAGCCAUCUGGUCUCGCAUGGGAUCUUUUUCUCCCCCGCAGGACCAUAGGGGUGAAGGUGGAGGAGGUCGUUGUUGUUGCUCUACAGCCGUUUUAGCGGCAGAUGGCAGACGAGGGUCGGCCCUCCGGCCUGUCUACCUGCUGCCAAUCAUACAUAAUCAGACAAGUAUUGAAGGACUUCCAAGCUGCCAAGUCUCUGUCAGAUUAUUCCUCGCCUUGCUCAUGAUUUUGUAUUUAAGUGUUGAAUUUUGUAGACAAUCUCUCUCCUUCACGCCACAUAUUUUCACGCCUUGUUUUUGCAUUUGUCAUUGUAAGUAUUUUUGUUGUUAAGCUUCGUCUCGGUUUUGUAUCUUCUUGUCUGUUCACGACAAGCUAUGUCCAUUUAUAUUAUCAAGCGUUUUGGGGUUGUUUUGUUUUCCUGGUUAUUGUAACCAGCGUCAUUUGUUAUAUGUUGGCGGCCUCGCAU